Molecule: long non-coding RNA, 637 nt
Organism: Spinacia oleracea (spinach)
Lineage: Eukaryota; Viridiplantae; Streptophyta; Magnoliopsida; Caryophyllales; Amaranthaceae
Exons: 2
Source: RefSeq, a predicted model, not a curated record
UUUGGGUUUGUUAAGUAUAAGAUACUUCCAAAUGAUUUUUUUGGGGUUUUAAUCAUAGAUGCACGAUCGUGAUUUGUGGAAAUGUGUUCUGUGUAAUAUUUGUUCUGUCCAGUUCGUUUGAGAGUUGUUGAUUUAAUCUAAUUUUUGUAGGACGAUUUGAUCUAGUUUUUGUUUUCUUUUACUAAAUUUCGUGACAGAUUGGUACAAUUGUGUGAAAUUGGCAGAAGAUUUGUGGGUUGAGACAGCAAUGGGUGGAUCCCUUAUAUAUGAGGAUAGCAAAUAGUGUUCUUGUAAUACGCAUACAAGAACACUAGCCCAGGAAGAUACUUGAAGAUGAAUAUUUUCUUUCGCGACUGCAAAUCCGGGAGAAGAGGUUAGCUAAAGGUGGAAUUCUCUUAGCUGCUACACUUAAUUUCGUAGUGGAGAAUCACAAACAGAAGACAAACAUCUCUAGUUUAGAAAGAGUAUGAUAACUUCCAUCAGGAAAAUAGGUAAAAUAGUUAAAUAUUUAUAUAUUCGGGUGAAUUUGCAUGCUUAGCUUCAUUGUACCUUUAUUUUGGGGAUUAAGGUUCUGUUUUUUAAUUUUUGGCAAAUUCUUCAUAUUACACUCUUAGUACUGGCUUUUUCAAGAGAUAAA